UAAGAAUAUUCCGCAAUGGACGAAAGUCUGACGGAGCGACGCCGCGUGGAUGAAGAAGGCCGAAAGGUUGUAAAAUCCUUUUGUCGGGGAAGAAUAAGCGUGGGAGGGAAUGCCCGCGUGAUGACAUGAACCGGCGAAUAAGCCCCGGCUAACUACGUGCCAGCAGCCGCGGUAACACGUAGGGGGCAAGCGUUGUUCGGAAUUACUGGGCGUAAAGGGCAUGUAGGCGGUUUUGUAAGCCUGGCGUGAAAUUCUGCAGCUUAACUGUAGGACUGCGCUGGGAACUGCGAGACUGGAGUCACGGAGAGGGAGCCAGAAUUCCAGGUGUAGGGGUGAAAUCUGUAGAUAUCUGGAAGAAUACCAAUGGCGAAGGCAGGCUUCUGGCCGAUGACUGACGCUGAGGUGCGAAAGCGUGGGUAGCAAAC
RNAcentral lists this ribosomal RNA (425 nucleotides) under uncultured bacterium. RNAcentral's name for it is "bacterial SSU rRNA". It matches the Rfam family "Bacterial small subunit ribosomal RNA", at positions 356 to 773 of the family's 1533-position model. The record is from RNAcentral.